GCUUUAUUCGGGACAAAUGGAGGAAGUGGACGAAACGGAAGCGGUGCCUCAGGUCGGGUAAAAUUAUAUAGAAGAAAACGGAUGGUGCAUCACGUGGAAUGAAAUUGGAGAGUUUGCCCGUCUUCCAUUAUUAUUGAAGUUAUAGACUCGUUUCAGAUUUACUGACAGUUUUAAAUUGAGAAAUGCUCUUCACUGGUUUAGUAGUUCACCACCUUUCUCACUCUGUUGCCCUUUUUAUUCCCCUGACUUGAACGACAGAUAUAUAUGGCAUGUGUCAAACAUGGACAGAGAGGGUUUAGUGGAUGAUAAGGUUCCCUUAGUGAAAAGCUAAAAUGGCUCAGCAAGUUUUCUUCUCAGAGUGGGAGUUUCAUACUAUGAUUCUAGCAUCCGUCAGCUUCAUGUGCUGGAUGUUUGGGAAGAUGGCAGCAUGGAAUAUCCUCUGAUUGAUCUAGUGAAAUAUCAAGCAAAGCCCCUAAUGAUAUAUGCUAGCACUAAAAGUGAGGAGUCUUUCUUGGCUGCUUUGCAACGGAGUGACGGGAUAUCUGAGGCUCCCACAGUGAAGCUUGUGAAGAGUUCAAUUUUCAGCUAUGAACAGGCGUGGCACAGAUUGAUAUACCUACGAGUAACAGGAAUGGAUGAUGGAUUAAACAUCAAGGAGAGAAUUUUUUAUCUGAGUUCUAUGAUGGACGUGGGAAGUGAUGUUCAAAUUCGUGCUAGUGGGGGUCUUCUUGCCAUACUGGAAAAUGAAAGGAUCGUGGACACGCUUGAACAAAAGGAACUUGGAACUUCAUCAAUAACGAUUGAUUCUGUCAUAGAAAUUUCUUUAAACAAAUUUUUAAAACUCGAUGCAACAGCUUUGGAAGCAUUGCAGAUAUUUCAAACCGACAAACACCCAAGCCAUAUGGGCAUUGGAAGAGCAAAAGAAGGGUUCUCUGUAUUUGGCAUGAUGAAUAAGUGUGUGACACCCAUGGGUAGACGCCUCUUGAGAAACUGGUUCCUGAGGCCAUUGGUGGAUCUUGAAAACUUGAAUAAGCGACUUAAUGCUAUAACGUUCUUUAUUUCUUCCGAGGAAUUGAUGCAUUCUUUACGUGAAACUCUAAAGACUGUCAAGGACAUUCCCCAUAUACUCAAGAAAUUCAAUUCCCCGAGCUCAACAUAUUCUUCUGGUGAUUGGACUUCAUUCUUGAAGAGUGUUUGCUCCCUUCUGCACGUGAAUAAAAUAUUUGAAGUUGGCAUGUCAGAGAAUCUUAGAGACAACAUGAAGUACUUAAAUUUGGACAUUGUUGAGAAGGCCAAUUCAUGCAUUACAACAGAGUUAGCUUAUGUUUAUGAAUUGGUUAUUGGCGUCUUAGAUGUUAGUAGAAGCAAAGAGAAAUCAUAUGAGACAAUUGUGAAGGAGGGUUUUUGUGAUGAGUUGGAUGAGCUGAGGGAAAUCUAUGAGGAAUUGCCUCAAUUUUUGGAGGAGGUUACAUCAAUGGAAGUUGCUCAAUUUCCUCAGUUGUGUAAAAACAAGCUUGACCCCUGUAUAGUCUAUAUACAUCAAAUAGGGUAUUUAUUAUGCAUAUUUGAAGAGAAACUUGAAGAAGGCACAUUAGAGAUCCUACGAGACUUUGAAUUUGCUUUCUCUGAUGUGGAUGGAGAUAUAAAGAGAUACUUUUACCGUAGUCCAAAAACACGAGAAUUGGAUAAUCUACUUGGAGACAUUUAUCACAAAAUUUUAGAAGACAUGGAGAGGGCAAUUAUUAGAGACUUGGUGUCACAUAUACUUGUUUUCUCUCUGCAUCUGCUUAAGGCUGUAGAUUUCGCGGCUGAGCUUGAUUGCUUUUUAUCACUAGCACUGAUUGCUCGUCAAAACAACUAUGUAAGGCCAGUUUUAAGUGCAGAUAGCAUGCUUGAUAUUAAGAAUGGAAGGCACAUUUUGCAGGAAAUGGCUGUCGAUACGUUUAUUCCAAAUGACACGAAGAUUUUUGAUGAUGGAAGAGUUAUUAUCAUUACUGGCCCAAACUAUUCUGGUAAAAGUAUCUACAUAAAACAGGUUGCUCUUAUUGUAUUCUUGUCUCAUAUAGGAAGCUUUGUUCCAGCAGAUGCUGCAACCGUGGGUUUGACUGAUAGAAUAUUUUGUGCUAUGGGAAGCAAGCAUAUGACUGCAGAACAAUCAACUUUUAUGAUUGACUUACUUCAAGUUGGGAUGAUGCUCAGGCAGGCGACGUGUCAAUCUUUGUGCUUGAUAGAUGAAUUUGGUAAAGGUACCCUUACAGAAGAUGGCAUUGGUCUUCUUGGUGGAACCAUCGACCACUUUGCAAGUUCUAAUGACUCUCCAAAGGUGUUGGUGUGCACUCAUCUAACUGAGCUAAUUAAUGAAAGUCUACUGCCAAUGUGUAAAAGGAUCAAGUUCUACAACAUGAGCGUGAUACGACCCGACAAUGAUUGCACUGAAAAUGAAGAUAUUGUUUUUCUUUAUCGUUUGGUCCCAGGACACGCACUUCCUAGCUAUGGUCUGCAUUGUGCGUUACUUGCUGGUAUAUCUCAAAGACAGAUGAGUUUAAAACAUUUCUGCAUUCUUCAAAUUGAAAGUAAUCAUUAUUGCUGGGAAUUAAUCUUAUUUCUUUCACAGGCGUUCCUGAUGAGGUUAUUAAGAGAGCAGCCUUUGUUUUGGAUGCUAUGGGGAAUAACAAGCAUGUUGAGCGGCUGCACAACGAGAAUUUAUCCGCUCAGGACAAGCUAUACCAGGACGCGGUGGACAAGUUGCUAGGACUUGAUGUUAACAAGUGUGAUCUCAGCCGUUUCUUUCAGGGCAUAUUUCCUUCUUAAUCCAACAUCUUUUAAGUUUCCAAUUGUAGCAUCUUCGGAGAGACUUUCAAGUAUGGUUUACAGAAGAUUCCGUCCCCAAGUGGAGGUAAUACAGACAACAUUAAGGGGGAAUUGUUAAAAUAACAUCUUUUUGCUAAUGCUUUGAUACCAGUUCCAUUUUAGUUCCA
Cucurbita pepo subsp. pepo (vegetable marrow) is the source of this 2978-nucleotide non-coding RNA. NCBI's taxonomy places the organism in Eukaryota, Viridiplantae, Streptophyta, Magnoliopsida, Cucurbitales, Cucurbitaceae. The record is from RefSeq and is a predicted model, not a curated record.